This 1437-nucleotide ribosomal RNA is filed under the name uncultured organism. Its description in RNAcentral is "16S ribosomal RNA". It matches the Rfam family "Bacterial small subunit ribosomal RNA". The record is from RNAcentral.
CAGGCUUAACACAUGCAAGUCGAGGGGCAGCAUUUUAGUUUGCUUGCAAACUGAAGAUGGCGACCGGCGCACGGGUGAGUAACACGUAUCCAACCUGCCGAUAACUCCGGAAUAGCCUUUCGAAAGAAAGAUUAAUACCGGAUAGCAUACGAAUAUCGCAUGAUAUUUUUAUUAAAGAAUUUCGGUUAUCGAUGGGGAUGCGUUCCAUUAGUUUGUUGGCGGGGUAACGGCCCACCAAGACUACGAUGGAUAGGGGUUCUGAGAGGAAGGUCCCCCACAUUGGAACUGAGACACGGUCCAAACUCCUACGGGAGGCAGCAGUGAGGAAUAUUGGUCAAUGGGCGAGAGCCUGAACCAGCCAAGUAGCGUGAAGGAUGAAGGCUCUAUGGGUCGUAAACUUCUUUUAUAUGGGAAUAAAGUUUUCCACGUGUGGAAUUUUGUAUGUACCAUAUGAAUAAGGAUCGGCUAACUCCGUGCCAGCAGCCGCGGUAAUACGGAGGAUCCGAGCGUUAUCCGGAUUUAUUGGGUUUAAAGGGAGCGUAGGUGGAUUGUUAAGUCAGUUGUGAAAGUUUGCGGCUCAACCGUAAAAUUGCAGUUGAAACUGGCAGUCUUGAGUACAGUAGAGGUGGGCGGAAUUCGUGGUGUAGCGGUGAAAUGCUUAGAUAUCACGAAGAACUCCGAUUGCGAAGGCAGCUCACUAGACUGUCACUGACACUGAUGCUCGAAAGUGUGGGUAUCAAACAGGAUUAGAUACCCUGGUAGUCCACACAGUAAACGAUGAAUACUCGCUGUUUGCGAUAUACAGUAAGCGGCCAAGCGAAAGCAUUAAGUAUUCCACUUGGGGAGUACGCCGGCAACGGUGAAACUCAAAGGAAUUGACGGGGGCCCGCACAAGCGGAGGAACAUGUGGUUUAAUUAGAUGAUACGCGAGGAACCUCACCCGGGCUUAAAUUGCAACAGAAUAUAUUGGUAACAGUAUAGCCGUAAGGCUGUUGUGAAGGUGCUGCAUGGUUGUCGUCAGCUCGUGCCGUGAGGUGUCGGCUUAAGUGCCAUAACGAGCGCAACCCUUAUCUUUAGUUACUAACAGGUCAUGCUGAGGACUCUAGAGAGACUGCCGUCGUAAGAUGUGAGGAAGGUGGGGAUGACGUCAAAUCAGCACGGCCCUUACGUCCGGGGCUACACACGUGUUACAAUGGGGGGUACAGAAGGCGGCUACCUGGUGACAGGAUGCUAAUCCCAAAAACCUCUCUCAGUUCGGAUCGAAGUCUGCAACCCGACUUCGUGAAGCUGGAUUCGCUAGUAAUCGCGCAUCAGCCAUGGCGCGGUGAAUACGUUCCCGGGCCUUGUACACACCGCCCGUCAAGCCAUGAAAGCCGGGGGUACCUGAAGUACGUAACCGCAAGGAGCGUCCUAGGGUAAAACUGGUAAUUGGGGCUA